CCAUCCCCCAGCCAUCCUGCCAGCUGAUUACAGAGGAACAAAUGAGCUCAAAGAAAAUAGAGCCUGGUGUGGAUUAUCAGAACCUUCUAGUUGAUACGAAUAAUUGGAAAUACAUAGGACAUGGAAAACUGACUUUACUUCUUCACAUAUUGCAAGCCCAGCUACAUUUGGUAAGAACUCUUGAAAAGAUGGAACACAAUAAAUUGCAGAAAAACAAAAUAAAAAACAAAAAACAACAACAAAAAAGGAGGAGGAAGAGGAGAGCAAACUGGAAGAGGAGAAGGCUGAGGAAGAGGAAGGAAGAAGGGGUAAAGAAAUAGGCCUAAAGAACCAAGAGGAUUGGUAUUUUGAAAGUUCUGUGAAAUUAAGUGUGAAUUUUAGGGGAAAAAGAAUAUGCUUAUGUGAGUAAACUCUCUUAGUAAACUUGGCCCAGGUUUUAAAACUUUGUAAUAAAUACACUGCAGAAAAUGCCUUCA
This 476-nucleotide long non-coding RNA is filed under the name Felis catus (domestic cat). Its description in RNAcentral is "lncRNA (ENSFCAG00000041215.2)". The record is from RNAcentral. Lineage: Eukaryota; Metazoa; Chordata; Mammalia; Carnivora; Felidae.